RNAcentral lists this ribosomal RNA (1863 nucleotides) under Triticum aestivum (bread wheat). Its description in RNAcentral is "partial small subunit ribosomal RNA". Lineage: Eukaryota; Viridiplantae; Streptophyta; Magnoliopsida; Poales; Poaceae. The record is from RNAcentral.
AUGGAGGGUGGCGCUGGUAGAGGUGCCGGUGCAGUGGAGAUGGCACCGACCCAAAGGAUGACGGCGGCCGCUAGGGUUGGAGGCGUAUUUAUAAUGCCUCUCCUCAAGCCUCCUCCAUGGAUGAUGGUUGCCUUCUUUGAUCCAAGGGUUCAAGGUGACUUCCAGAGAGAAAGCUUCUCGCUCUCUGGCACCGGCAGCAGUGGCACCCAUGGGUGUUGCUUGCUUCAUGAAGACGUCGUCGUAGGUCUCAUCCUUGUGUCAGGGCUUAGAGGAGCUUCUAAGACAACAACUAGUUUUUCAAGCAGAGAAGCAGAGAAGCAGAGAAGCAGAGAAGCAGAGAAGCUGCAUGGAACAGGCCAACAGGGGAGGGGAUCGAUUGGGGAGGAGGAGGAGGAGCGGGAGGUGGUGGGUGAUUUUUGGUGGAGGAGGAGGUGGUGGGUGGUUUCCGGCGCGGCGUUUGGACGGAGGAGGGGGCGGUGGUUUCUGGUUUCCGGCGGAGGAUGGAUGGGGGAGGGGGCGGUGAUUUCUGGUUUCCGGUGGAGGAUUGGAUGGGGGAGGGUGCCGGGGUGUUGGGACGGGGGAGGAAGGCUUGGGCGGGAAUAUAACGUCAGUCCCAAACCAGACCCACCCACCUUCCGCUGCCGGCGACCAGCUGCAGUGGAGCAGCUCAUCUGCGCCUCCCUCCCAUCUCCUUCCACCAACCAUCCCUCUCCGCGCGCCUUCCCGGCCGUCGAGGAUGCCGCGCGCUGGCGCGAGGUCCAGCCCGCCGGACUCUCCACUGGCUCAUCGUCAUCGCAGCGGAGCCGGGGCUCGCAACCACCAGGUUUCCGGCGCGUAUCCUCAAGCGCGCUGGCUCAUCUCUGUCUCCUCGCUGCUAUGCCAGCGACGUCCACGACCUCCUCUCCUCCCCGCACCUCCAGCUCCAAUGGCAGCAUGCCCGUCAUCUGCUCGAUGAAAUGUCUGUGCCCAGUCUACUCGAGGUGCUAUGCCAUGUCAGCUAGGCAAUUAACUCUUCUACAACAGAAACUAUCUGGAAGCAGCAGCUCACUAUACGGAAGCCCUGAAAAGAAUCCAAAUGAACCCGCAGUUUUUAGAAACACAGUUCAAGGUGACAUCUUUCUUGGAGCUCUGCCUGAAGGUCUGGAUAAUGCGGGAAAAUGCAUUGAGCUGGAUCCUACUUAUCUGGCCAGGACAUCAGAGGCAAAACAGGUUGAACGACAGAAGGAAACUGAGGAACAUCUUUCCAAAAUACAACAAGAGUUGCAACAAGUUAAAGCAACAGAAAAUGUGGUCGCUGAUGAGAGCAUAAUGAGCAUGUUCAACAUGAGUUCUUGGAGUCCAGAAGGUCAUAGUGAGGAACUUCAGAAAGCCAAUGAGCAUAGUUUGAAUCUUCAACAUCAACUCUCGGAAUCCAAAGAGCGUACUUCAAUGAAGUUCAGAGAAUGCAGGUUUGCGUCUGUGUACCGAGGUGUCCUCCAGAACAUGAAAGUUGCAAUAAAUGUCCCGUGUGGAGUGCAGAGGAGUAGCCCCUCGCGCGUGACGUUGCACCCCUUGUCGUGCUGCAAAGCCAGCAGUGUAAAUCAAGCGCAUGGAUCCAUAAUGCGGCUUUCGCCUAGGUUGGGCAUCUUUUCCGUGGUAACACCUUCGGCAAGGACACACACUCUCUGUGGCCCACUUGGGGACAUCCUCUACAAACGCUUUAAGCAUCAUAUUGCUGGUAAAGCCCACAGGGUGCAUGCUUGGGUCGGUGUCCUAGUUCGCCUAUUCACCCCCGCUUGCAUUGGUCCGUUCGCUCCCCCAUCUUGCUCGCUUGCUACUUUUUGUUGUUGCUACUUGUCUGCCCUUUCAAAAAAAAUGUUUUAG